RNAcentral lists this ribosomal RNA (372 nucleotides) under Dodecastyla sp. WAM ZYGA001. RNAcentral's name for it is "partial small subunit ribosomal RNA". The record is from RNAcentral. Lineage: Eukaryota; Metazoa; Arthropoda; Insecta; Zygentoma; Nicoletiidae.
CCCUAUUAUUCUUGGUGUAAAAAUUGGCAUGGGUAGUAUUAGUUAUUUUCUUAAAACUCAAAGGAUUUGGCGGUAUCUUAAUCCUCUCAGAGGAGCUUGUCCUGUGAUCGAUGGUCCACGUUGUUGGUUUCUUUUUUUUGCUAAGCAGUUUGUAUAUCGCCGUUGUUCAGAAGAUUUUUAAAAAAUGGGUAAUUUUCUAUAAUUUUUAUUAGAAUAUAAGGCAGGUCAAGGUGCAGUUUAUGAAAAAGAGUGAGAUGGGCUACAAUAUAAUUUAUAUAAAACGGACUAUUUGUUUGAAUGUUAAUAGGAAGGUGGAUUUGAAUGUAAUUUUUAUGGGUAGGAGUGAAUAUGGCUCUAGGAUAUGCACAUAUC